AACCAGGCUAAACUAAUAAACGGUCAUAAAAUUAAUGGACUGACUUUUUUCCAAACAAAAAUGACAUCUGUCCCUUUAUAAUAUUAACCCCUUACACUUAAGGGAUUUUUAAUGAUUUUGUUUAAGUGACAUAUGCUUAAAAUUAAAGCAGCUCUUUUGUUGUGCGUUUCUAUUACCGUUAAAAGUAGACCUGUCAAUCAAAGACCCAGUUUAGCACAAGCGCGCAACCACUAGACAGUCAGACAAAGAAGUGGUUAUGUAGUGUAAAGUGAUAGUAAGUGAAGACACACAGCUAUUCAUAAAAUAGAGCCUUAACCUUUGUUAGUUAAACAACAUAGAAUGGUCUUUUCUGUUUUUUCAGUGAAUUUUUGUAAGUGAUCGAUCUAGAAGUCAUCAUACAGUUCUGAUUUGCCAUGUUCUUAACAUACUGUUUUAGUCAAUAAAGAUAAAUUGAGUGCACAUUAAUUCACAAAGGCAUUUGCAAUAUAUUUGACUCCUUUUCAUGUUUCUUCUUUUUCUCAACAGGAGCUACAUACACCCCAAAGGCUCUUUUCAGAGCCCAGGCCCAUUUUACACAGCGUCUUUGCCUUUGUACAGUGUGACUCCCCUUCUGUCCGGCAUUACGGCUGCAGUGUACUUGGCGCGUCAGCACACACGACGGCUGGAACUACAGCAUGGUCUCCCCAGUGGACCAGCACGACAACCGUCUGGAUUGAGCCGAGUAGGGGACAUCUCUAGGGUCUUCACAUAUUGAUACACACACCAUUGCGACUUAGAUCACCAUCACCACCAUCAUCCCCUGCAUC
Rhinichthys klamathensis goyatoka is the source of this 806-nucleotide long non-coding RNA. RefSeq lists it as uncharacterized. NCBI's taxonomy places the organism in Eukaryota, Metazoa, Chordata, Actinopteri, Cypriniformes, Leuciscidae. The transcript is spliced from 3 exons. The record is from RefSeq and is a predicted model, not a curated record.